This is a non-coding RNA of Pelobates cultripes (western spadefoot toad), 236 nucleotides long. The record is from the annotation of a GenBank genome assembly. Lineage: Eukaryota; Metazoa; Chordata; Amphibia; Anura; Pelobatidae.
GUUAGUUAUACUGGGUGGGUUUAUAUUAUUAAAGGGACACUCCAGGCUCCCACACACGUUAGGUGCACUGUGUAGGUUAGGUUACAGUUAGUUAUACUGGGUGGGUUUAUAUUAUUAAAGGGACACUCCAGGCUCCCACACACACGUUAGAUGCACUGUGUAGGUUAGGUUACAGUUAGUUAUACUGGGUGGGUUUAUAUUAUUAAAGGGACACUCCAGGCUCCCACACACGUUAG